This 253-nucleotide ribosomal RNA is filed under the name uncultured bacterium. RNAcentral describes it as "partial 16S ribosomal RNA". It matches the Rfam family "Bacterial small subunit ribosomal RNA", at positions 524 to 776 of the family's 1533-position model. The record is from RNAcentral.
UACAGAGGGGGCAAGCGUUGUUCGGAAUUACUGGGCGUAAAGGGAGCGUAGGCGGACAGUUUAGUCAGAGGUGAAAGCCCAGGGCUCAACCUUGGAAUUGCCUUUGAUACUGACUGUCUUGAGUAUGGGAGAGGUUAGCGGAACUCCGAGUGUAGAGGUGAAAUUCGUAGAUAUUCGGAAGAACACCAGUGGCGAAGGCGGCUCACUGGACCGGCAUUGACGCUGAGGUGCGAAAGCGUGGGGAGCAAACAGG